Penaeus indicus is the source of this 580-nucleotide long non-coding RNA. RefSeq lists it as uncharacterized. Lineage: Eukaryota; Metazoa; Arthropoda; Malacostraca; Decapoda; Penaeidae. The record is from RefSeq and is a predicted model, not a curated record. The transcript has 3 exons.
CAGUCUGCCGUCAGAGGAGACAGACGCACCUUCUCUCCACAACAUUUGCUCUCCCGUGAUUCCUUCAGACGUUGUCAACUCCUCAGCGUUAACACGCCAACUCUGAGUCGACGGUAACCUGAGCGGUCUUCAGGACCUUUGAAUCACACGCAAAACAACAGAUCUGACCUGACUUUCCUGCUGGCGAAGAUUUUGUUGGCGAAACAAGCCUUCUUUCGGCCGAAAACAGAUAAAAUUAUCAAAACACAAGUUUCCACAAAUAUAUAACUUCGGACUAUCAAUACCUCUGAACUAUUAUAGUUUGACACGCCAAGGACGUGCAAUCGUGAUUUGGUGAUAAGACUCCAAGAAAAAAACGAAGAGAAACCACAAGCCGAGAAGACAUUAAUUAGUGCUGCCAAAUUUUAUGGUGUGUGAGGCAGCUGGACAGUGUAGCGCUGAGCCCGCCGUGCGACGUCCAAGUACUGCGUUAGGACGUAACCUCAUGAUUAUUUGAAGGGAUCGAGAGACGCGACGUCGGUGCGAGAGAAAAGGAGCCCAAGGGACGAGUGACGGAAGUAAGCAAACAAAGAAACACACA